RNAcentral lists this ribosomal RNA (277 nucleotides) under uncultured Glomus. Its description in RNAcentral is "partial 18S ribosomal RNA". It matches the Rfam family "Eukaryotic small subunit ribosomal RNA", at positions 548 to 829 of the family's 1831-position model. Lineage: Eukaryota; Fungi; Glomeromycota; Glomeromycetes; Glomerales; Glomeraceae. The record is from RNAcentral.
UUGGAGGGCAAGUCUGGUGCCAGCAGCCGCGGUAAUUCCAGCUCCAAUAGCGUAUAUUAAAGUUGUUGCAGUUAAAAAGCUCGUAGGUUGAAUUUCGGGGUUAGUAGGUUGGUCAUGCCUCUGGUAUGUACUGGUCUCACUGAUUCCUCCUUCCUUAUGAACCGUAAUGCCAUUAAUUUGGUGUUGCGGGGAAUUUGGACUGUUACUUUGAAAAAAUUAGAGUGUUUAAAGCAAGCUAACGCUUGAAUACAUUAGCAUGGAAUAAUGAAAUAGGACG